This is a long non-coding RNA of Dioscorea cayenensis subsp. rotundata (Guinea yam), 1642 nucleotides long. RefSeq lists it as uncharacterized. The transcript is spliced from 4 exons. Lineage: Eukaryota; Viridiplantae; Streptophyta; Magnoliopsida; Dioscoreales; Dioscoreaceae. The record is from RefSeq and is a predicted model, not a curated record.
CUUUGCAUUGAGUAGCUCUCACAUUUCCCGUCAUUUUUUGUCUAUUACCUCCCCAGGAUUUUGACACAAGAAGCAUCCAAUCAAAAUUUUCUGCAACAGGCUGGAAUCAAUCCUUGAUGUUUAUAUUAAAAUCCAAGGGACAUCUUUUCAAAUCAGGAUCAAAUGCCUCUUACUUGGUCCAUGGCUGAUUUCUCCAACUACUGGUCUUAGAACCAGACAUAAAUAGGCAUACCACUCAAUUGACACACUUUGCCUUUUCAGUGUAAGAAGGGUAGAGGAAAUAACUGUGUAAGGUGAACAUGUGCUUUCUUGAUGACUCACUUUUCAGAUUACUGAUGAAAGCAUCAUACUAAGGGAGUUGUCUGGUGAUUUUAAGUGUAAAAAAAGGGAUAUUAAGAAAGAAAGCUUUUCAUAUUAUUUCUCAUUGUGGCAUAGCUUAUUUGAUGUAUUAUUAUGGUCAAUGUCAAUGUUUAGAGGAUUUAAUAUUAAGUAGGACAUGCAUAAUGAUGGUGGUCCAAAGUGUUAGGAUGAGGUUGAAACUCAAGUCUGGUACAUGUGCUUUGAUUUUAUUUUUUGAGUUAGCGAUGAAGUCUGAGAUUACCAUUACGUAUUUAAUUAUUUGAUAUCUAAGAGUGGUUAAUACUGAGAUUCUUACUCUCUGUUCUUAUUCCUCCUCAAAUUGAUUGUAAUUGUUAGUACUUUGUUUAUAAAUAAAGACACUUAGAAACUGUUUGUUUGGGGGUAUUUGAGUUUACAUGUAAUUGAAAAUACUGCACUUUAAAAAAAAACUAAUAUUUGGUUUGAUGUACUUGCAAAUUGUUGCAAGGUGAUUAUAUUAGUAAGUAAGAGAAGAAUAAAUUAGUAAGAAUUAUAUUCAGAUGUAAUUCCAAAUAACACAAAACCAACUAUCAGCUGUGUUUUGUGUCACUGUGAAAUCCACCAUAAUACUGAAUACAAGGUAGUUGAAAAGCAACAAGCACAUUUCAGCCUUUCUUUUCUUCAUCACUGUCAUUGGUCUCCAACACCGUUCUUCAGCGCCAUUCUUCGUUGAUGAUCUCUCAUCGUAGAUCUGUCGUUGACCCCCUUUCUUCGCCUCUGAAACCGAAAUUAUUGUAUGGCAAAGUUGUAAAUCUGGCUGUGAACAUCGGCCCAGCGCCGUUGAGCUCUUCUCUUGCCACGUUGCCGGAACCGCAGCAGCAACAACAACAACAAAAACAAGGUGAACGUCUCUCUAGAUUGUAUUUAUCUCGAUUCUUUCAUUUAGUGUUUUGGACUAAUCCACCACCAAAAAUAGAUCAUUUUCUAGUGUCCCCAAAAGCAUAGAAAAAAAAGGAGUCGAGAGAGAUCAAAGCGCACCAAAUCUUCUCCACUUAUCACUGCUCUCUUUCUUUUCCUCUAACUUUUGGUUUUUGAAAUCCACCACCUGAGGUGAAGGCCACCACCACCACCACCACCACCACCACCACCAGCAAGCUCUCUUUAUUUGAUUAUAUGAACCAAACAAGCUUGGCUUCUCUUCUGUUGUUCUUGGAGUGUCUUUGGUUUGGCAGUCUCCAAUGGCUGGAGUGGUUUUUUGGAGGUGACUGAUGGCCAUGUUCGCCCCUAUGGAUGAUUCAGUGCUUGGUCCUUUGUUUUGGAAGAU